AGAACCCUACGGACGCAGCAGUGGGGAAUAUUGGGCAAUGGGCGCAAGCCUGACCCAGCAACGCCGCGUGAAGGAAGAAGGCCCUCGGGUUGUAAACUUCUUUUAUUCGGGACGAAACAAAUGACGGUACCGAAUGAAUAAGCCACGGCUAACUACGUGCCAGCAGCCGCGGUAAUACGUAGGUGGCAAGCGUUAUCCGGAUUUACUGGGUGUAAAGGGCGUGUAGGCGGGAGAGCAAGUCAGACGUGAAAUUCCAGGGCUCAACCCUGGAACUGCGUUUGAAACUGUUCUU
This 292-nucleotide ribosomal RNA is filed under the name uncultured bacterium. Its description in RNAcentral is "partial 16S ribosomal RNA". It matches the Rfam family "Bacterial small subunit ribosomal RNA", at positions 333 to 640 of the family's 1533-position model. The record is from RNAcentral.